UGGUGCGAGCCGAACAUGGUGGACGGGACUCACUGUUAAUGAGUACAUGGUAGGUUCGAUUCCUACCGCAUCAGC
RNAcentral lists this transfer RNA (75 nucleotides) under Sinorhizobium phage Phosso. Its description in RNAcentral is "tRNA-Asn". It matches the Rfam family "tRNA". Rfam says of the family: Transfer RNA (tRNA) molecules are approximately 80 nucleotides in length. Their secondary structure includes four short double-helical elements and three loops (D, anti-codon, and T loops). RNAcentral also lists the same sequence under 1 other name. The record is from RNAcentral.